Molecule: ribosomal RNA, 973 nt
Filed under: uncultured bacterium
Lineage: Bacteria
Description: bacterial SSU rRNA
Rfam family: Bacterial small subunit ribosomal RNA
Source: RNAcentral
AGUUUGAUCCUGGCUCAGAGUGAACGCUGGCGGCGUGGAUUAGGCAUGCAAGUCGAGCGAUCCUUGAAAAAUUUUACUGAGUCGUAAGAUUUGGUGAAAUUUUUCGAGGAUAGCGGCAGACUGGUGAGUAACGCGUGAGUAAUUUACCUCUAAGCCGUGGAUAGCCUUGCGAAAGCAAGGGUAAAACACGAUGUGUCCCUUGACACAAAAGUGUCAAGGGGUAAAAGUGGCUCGCAAGAGCUAUUGUUUAGAGAUGAGCUCGCGUCCUAUCAGCUAGUUGGUAGGGUAAUGGCCUACCAAGGCUUUUGACGGGUAGCUGGCCUGAGAGGGUGGUCAGCCACACGGGGACUGAGACACUGCCCCGACUCCUACGGGAGGCUGCAGUCGAGGAUCUUUAGCAAUGGGCGAAAGCCUGACUAUGCGACGCCGCGUGAGGGAUGAAGAUCUUCGGGUCGUAAACUCCUGUCGAGCGGGAAGAACACCCCUCGGGUGAACAGCCCGGGAGGUUGACGGUACCGCGAGAGGAAGCCCCGGCUAACUCCGUGCCAGCAGCCGCGGUAAUACGGGGGGGGCAAGCGUUGUUCGGAAUUAUUGGGCGUAAAGGGCUCGUAGGCGGCCAACUAAGUCAGACGUGAAAUCCCCAGGCUUAACUUGGGAACUGCGUCUGAUACUGGAUGGCUUGAGUUCGGGAGAGGGACGUGGAAUUCCAGGUGUAGCGGUGAAAUGCGUAGAUAUCAGGAGGAACAUCGGUGGCGAAGGCGGCUCCCUGGACAGAUACUGACGCUGAGGCGCGAAAGCAUGGGUAGCAAACAGGAUUAGAUACCCUGGUAGUCCAUGCCCUAAACGAUGGGCACUAGGUGUGAGGACUUUUUAACGUCUUCGUGCCGUAGCUAACGCAUUAAGUGCCCCACCUGGGAAGUACGGCCGCAAGGUUGAAACUCAAAGGAAUUGACGGGGGCCCGCACAAGCGGUG